CUCAUGACCAUCUGACUAACAUGCACCUUCCUGUGCACCUGCGUGGCUUGCUGCUGGGGCCUGGGCCCGGGCCAGCCUGGAUGCCAGGCAGAUGCCAGGCAGGGCCUCACUGCACCUCCCCCACAGCCACCAAGGUGUUCCAGGGCGUCCUGGAGCUGGAGGGCGUCGAGGGCCAGGAGCUGUUCUACACGCCUGAGAUGGCUGACCCCAAGUCAGAGCUGUUCGGGGAGACAGCCAGGAGCAUUGAGAGCACCCUGGACGACCUCUUCCGGAAUUCAGACGUCAAGAAGGAUUUUCGGAGUGUCCGCUUGCGGGACCUGGGGCCCGGCAAAUCCGUCCGCGCCAUUGUGGAUGUGCACUUUGACCCCACCACAGCCUUCAGGGCACCCGACGUGGCCCGGGCCCUGCUCCGGCAGAUCCAGGUGUCCAGGCGCCGGUCCUUGGGGUUGAGGCGGCCGC
Molecule: small RNA, 459 nt
Filed under: Pongo abelii (Sumatran orangutan)
Lineage: Eukaryota; Metazoa; Chordata; Mammalia; Primates; Hominidae
Description: retained intron
Source: RNAcentral